UACGGAGGGUGCGAGCGUUAAUCGGAAUUACUGGGCGUAAAGCGCGCGUAGGCGGUUUGUUAAGUCAGCUGUGAAAGCCCCGGGCUCAACCUGGGAACUGCAGUUGAUACUGUCCGACUAGAGUACGAGAGAGGGAGGUAGAAUUCCAUGUGUAGCGGUGAAAUGCGUAGAUAUAUGGAGGAACACCGAUGGCGAAGGCAAUCCCCUGGACCUGUACUGACGCUCAUGCACGAAAGCGUGGGGAGCAAACAGG
RNAcentral lists this ribosomal RNA (253 nucleotides) under uncultured bacterium. RNAcentral describes it as "partial 16S ribosomal RNA". It matches the Rfam family "Bacterial small subunit ribosomal RNA", at positions 524 to 776 of the family's 1533-position model. The record is from RNAcentral.